Long non-coding RNA from Mesocricetus auratus (golden hamster), 557 nucleotides. RefSeq lists it as uncharacterized. The record is from RefSeq and is a predicted model, not a curated record. Lineage: Eukaryota; Metazoa; Chordata; Mammalia; Rodentia; Cricetidae. The transcript is spliced from 2 exons.
CAAACAUAAGCUGCGUCACAGACACCAGUGCAUUCGAGGGAGAAAGAUGGAAGACAUGCGGAGAAUGGAGAGGAGGAAGCAAGCAGAAACGGGGAUGAUGAUGGAACUCCUCAAAGUCCAUCUCCGGUGAUGCAUAUCCUCCAGAAAAUCUACACCUUCCAAAGGUUCCACAACCUUCAAGAAUAACACCAGCAACUGGAGACCAAGUAUUUAAAUAUUUCUCAUUCAAACUACCAACAACAACAACAAAAAACCCCCACAAUGGAUACGUGUUGCAUGCAACAUUGGAAAAUGGAUGUGAUAGUUAAUUUUAUAUGUUAAGUGUUUCAGCCCCCAGACAUGAAAUCGCAAGGCUCUCGGGCCUUCAGAAAUUCGUGAACUGGAUAGUUAGGUUUCUGAGCUACCAUAGAUACUUAAGCCAGUUCCUUACAACAUUUCCAUCUGUCUGUCAUUUCUGCAAUCACCUGUCACCCUCCCACCCAUCAAUCAGCUGUCUUACUGAUUCUGUAUCUCUGGAGAAUCCUGAAUAAUACAGCAGAAUUAGAACUUUCAAAAGA